AUUCCUGUUCUAUCAAUGUUUUUGAAGAAGCUUCUUACUGAGGAUUUACCUCGUCUCUUUGUCCGUCCAAAAAAAAUUGUGUUGGAUUUUCAGAAAGGGAAAACAGUCGGCCCUAUUCCAAGUGAUCCUAAGUCUGGUCAGAGCGAACAACCUAAGGCUGGGGAAAUGCAAGAAGGAAAUAAGGACUAUGCUGGAGAACUAUCAGUAACUCUUGUUGAUGCAAGGAAACUCUCUUAUAUCAUAUAUGGAAAAACUGACCCAUAUGUUAAUCUAAGACUUGGAGAUCAAGUAAUACGCAGCAAAAGAAACAGUCAAACUACUGUUAUUGGACCUCCUGGAGAGCCUAUAUGGAAUCAGGAUUUUCACAUGUUUGUCACAAACCCCAGGGGACAAAAGCUAUAUAUAGAAGCAAAGGAUUCCCUUGGUUUUACAGAUUUGACUAUUGGCUCAGGGGAGGUUGAUCUGGUAUCUCUUGAAGAUACUGUACCGACAGACAAAAUUGUGAUCCUCCGAAGUUGGGGACUACUGGGACCAAGGCCUGUAGGAGAGAUUUUACUGCGACUGACUUAUAAAGCUUACGUCGAAGAUGAGGAGGACGAAAGGAUUGAAGCAAGAUCCAAGUAUUUGGAUGCUUCAGAUGAUGAAUCAUCUGACUUCGAUGAUCGAGAUACUGCUGUGUAUGAGCAGCGUGGAGAGAGUGUGUCAAGUGGAACAGAUAAAGAAUCAUUUAUGGAUUUAUUAGCAGCAUUAAUUGUCAGCGAGGAAUUCCAAGGGAUCGUGGCAUCUGAAACAGGCAAUACUAAAUCUGUAGAUGAUUUUCAAACUAGAGAGCCAACCUCAAGACAACGUACUCCUGCUAAAUCUGUUCAACAAACUUCUGAUAUUGUUCCUGAAAACUUAGGAGAAUCACCCCUGUUUUGGCUAGCGAUUGUUACAAGUAUCUCAGUUCUAAUUGCUCUCAACGUCAGUGGUUCUAGCAUUUUCAAUCCAUGAAUAAGGAAACAAAAUAAGAUUGAUAGCUCCUGGUAAAUAGUACAAUAUAGAGUUCCUGCUGGAGUUUUUCUGUCAAACUACACAUAGUUGUCACCACUCUGAGAUUG
This 1100-nucleotide unclassified non-coding RNA is filed under the name Hevea brasiliensis (rubber tree). The record is from RNAcentral. Lineage: Eukaryota; Viridiplantae; Streptophyta; Magnoliopsida; Malpighiales; Euphorbiaceae.